RNAcentral lists this long non-coding RNA (1118 nucleotides) under Homo sapiens (human). Its description in RNAcentral is "HSALNT0357137". Lineage: Eukaryota; Metazoa; Chordata; Mammalia; Primates; Hominidae. The record is from RNAcentral.
GAAAAUCCAUCUGUCAAAUAAUGUAUCCCUGCUACCCACAAACUUUAUUUAAAAGAAUCUUGAAAUCAUUGCUUCAAAAACGACUUUAACACAUUCCUCAUUAGCAAACCUGCCAACUACUAUGUCCUGGCACCAAGCAGCGCCUGGCCCCUUCUCCAUCACUUUGGAAGGUGCAGAGACUCCCUGGCCCAUCAGGAACUGGGAGUCCCAGAGAGCCAGUGGAAAUUUAAAUGAAGCCAAAAAGCACGAAGCAAAAGAGGUUCCUGGUGAAUAGUGAAAUGGGUGCACUGCCCCCUUAGAAGAAUGGAGGAUCACCUUAGGUGUGGAAGCCAGAAGGCUUUGAGUGGAGGAUGAGAUCCGAACCACCUGAAUGCUGGCUAAGGUUUUUAGAAGGCAAGAGAGGCCAGUUGACUGCAGUUGCCCUUGGGGUUGAUAAUCCAGUGACCUGAAGCCCCGGGACUUGCAAGCAGGCUAGGGCUGGAAUGGGAAAUGCUGCCUCUGGGCGCGUGGAGGCUGCUGUUUCUGCAGACGGUGAACUCUCCCACUCUUCUCAGUGGCCUGCUUCCCUUUGGCUGGAGACAAUAAGCUCUUUGAAGCUAAAAUAAGCGGAUCUAUUUUAGGCCUUUGUAGCCCACACUGGGCAAUCUCAGGUUCUGUUGAGGUCAGGUGUUUCUCAGACGGCCUCUGACGACCCCUCGGUUCGUUCCUUCCCGAGGGCUGGCACUGUUUUCAGUCACCCGCCGGCUGUGCUCAGAUGUGGAAGAAGGAGGAGUUGCGGAUGAUAGUGCCAUUUCUAAUCUGCUUUGGCGGGUCACAGAAAGUCGAGAGAGCCAAAUGAUGAUUGAGGAGAGGAAGCAGCUCAUCACUGUGAGAGAGGAGGCCUGGAAGACGAGAGGCAGAGGAGCGGCCAACGACUCGACCCAGUUCACUGUGGCUGGCAGGAUGGUGAAGAAAGGUUUGGCGUCACCUACUGCCAUAACCCCAGUAGCCUCAGCCAUUUGCGGUAAAACAAGAGGCACCACACCCGUUUCCAAACCCCUGGAAGAUAUCGAAGCCAGACCAGAUACGCAGUUAGAAUGGGACCUGAAGCUGGACAGGCUGGAAACCUUUCUAAGAAG